CUAUACAUGACUCUGCGCAUAUCAAUAAGCGGAGGAAAAGAAACUAACAAGGAUUCCCCUAGUAACGGCGAGUGAAGCGGGAAGAGCUCAAAUUUGAAAUCUUAAAGGGUUUCCCUUUACGAAUUGUAGUUUAAAGAAGUGUUUUCUGUUGAGGUUUUGGUAAAAGUUCUUUGGAAUAGGACAUCAUAGAGGGUGAGAAUCCCGUAUUUGACCUUUACUUUCAACUUUGUGAUACACUUUCAAAGAGUCGGAUUGUUUGGGAAUGCAGUCCAAAAUGGGUGGUAAAUUUCAUCUAAAGCUAAAUAUUGGCGAGAGACCGAUAGCGAACAAGUACCGUGAGGGAAAGAUGAAAAGAACUUUGAAAAGAGAGUUAAACAGUACGUGAAAUUGUCAAAAGGGAAGCGUUUGACACCAGUGUUGUUUUUCUGAAAAUCAAUUAAAGAACUGUUUAUGCUAAGCUGUUUAGACUUUAUCAGCUAUCUGCUUAGUUUUAGGCUUUUCUUUAAUGCACUUUUCAGUUAACAAGUCAACAUCAAUUUCUUUUGCUGUAAAAAAGCUUGAGGAAGGUGGCUUGAGAUUCGUCUUAAGUGUUUAUAGCCUCUUGCCUAUGCAGUCGGAGAGAUUGAGGUCUGCAGCGUAGAUCCUUCGGGGCUAAAUGCAUUUGUGCUAAGUUAUAGCAUUUUAUAGACAACUUGUUGACUAUGAUUUGUCUUGUAGCUUACUCGCUCAUGUUAUUUUACCUACGCUUAGGAUGUUGAUCUACAGAGCGAGAGU
Molecule: ribosomal RNA, 774 nt
Filed under: uncultured Neocallimastigales
Lineage: Eukaryota; Fungi; Neocallimastigomycota; Neocallimastigomycetes; Neocallimastigales
Description: partial large subunit ribosomal RNA
Rfam family: Eukaryotic large subunit ribosomal RNA
Source: RNAcentral